GGAUAACCUACCCUUAGGACCGGGAUAACCUUGGGAAACUGAGGCUAAUACCGGAUAGGCAAUUUUUCCUGUAAUGGUUUUUUGUUUAAAUGUUUUUUCGCCUAAGGAUGGGUCUGCGGCCGAUUAGGUAGUUGGUUAGGUAAUGGCUUACCAAGCCGUUGAUCGGUACGGGUUGUGAGAGCAAGAGCCCGGAGAUGGAACCUGAGACAAGGUUCCAGGCCCUACGGGGUGCAGCAGGCGCGAAACCUCCGCAAUGUGAGAAAUCGCGACGGGGGGAUCCCAAGUGCCAUUCUUAACGGGAUGGCUUUUCAUUAGUGUAAAAAGCUUUUGGAAUAAGAGCUGGGCAAGACCGGUGCCAGCCGCCGCGGUAACACCGGCAGCUCUAGUGGUAGCAACUUUUAUUGGGCCUAAAGCGUCCGUAGCCGGUUUAAUAAGUCUCUGGUGAAAUCCUGUAGCUUAACUGUGGGAAUUGCUGGAGAUACUAUUAGACUUGAGACCGGGAGAGGUUGGAGGUACUCCCAGGGUAGAGGUGAAAUUCUGUAAUCCUGG
This 549-nucleotide ribosomal RNA is filed under the name uncultured archaeon. Its description in RNAcentral is "bacterial SSU rRNA". It matches the Rfam family "Archaeal small subunit ribosomal RNA", at positions 102 to 651 of the family's 1478-position model. The record is from RNAcentral.